This 500-nucleotide ribosomal RNA is filed under the name uncultured bacterium. Its description in RNAcentral is "partial 16S ribosomal RNA". It matches the Rfam family "Bacterial small subunit ribosomal RNA", at positions 28 to 507 of the family's 1533-position model. The record is from RNAcentral.
GACGAACGCUGGCGGCGUGCUUAACACAUGCAAGUCGAACGGGUCUGCCCUGUUUUUUGCGGGGUGGGUCAGUGGCGAACGGGUGAGUAACACGUGAGUAACCUGCCCCUCACUUCUGGAUAACCGCUUGAAAGGGUGGCUAAUACGGGGUGUUCUGGCUGUGCCGCAUGGUGUGGCCGGGAAAGAUUCACUUUUGUGGUGUUUUGGUGGGGGAUGGGCUCGCGGCCUAUCAGCUUGUUGGUGGGGUGAUGGCCUGCCAAGGCUUUGACGGGUAGCCGGCCUGAGAGGGUGGGCGGUCACACUGGGACUGAGAUACGGCCCAGACUCCUGCGGGAGGCAGCAGUGGGGGGUAUUGCACAAUGGGCGGAAGCCUGAUGCAGCGACGUCGCGUGAGGGAUGGAGGCCUUCGGGUUGUGAACCUCUUUCGCCGGUGAAGAAGGUCCUGCUCUUUUUGGGGGGGUUGACGGUAGCCGGGUUAUGAAGCGCCGGCUAACUACGUG